UCUGGGCAUGGUGGCGCAUGCCUGUAGUCCCAGCUACUUGGGAGGCUGAGGCAGAAGGAUCACUUGAGUCCAAGAGUUUGAGGUUGCAGUUAGCUGUGACUGAGCCACUGCACUCCAGCCUGGGCACCAGAGUGAGACCCUGUCUCUC
Molecule: non-coding RNA, 148 nt
Filed under: Nomascus leucogenys (northern white-cheeked gibbon)
Lineage: Eukaryota; Metazoa; Chordata; Mammalia; Primates; Hylobatidae
Source: Rfam by way of RNAcentral